AUCUGCUCUUCAUCGUCACCACGUCGUCGCCACACCACACCAUCACCACCCCACUUCCAUAUUCUAACGGUUUUUUAUACAAACAAUCAAAACAGAACCAUGUACUACGGUCAAAAUCACCAAAACAAAGCCACCUAUAUAAAAAAAUAUGCAGCAAAAUUAGAAUAAAAAUCCAUAACAAAUAAGUAAAAUGAAACAAAACUACAUUGAGUGCGUGUUUUGCAGCCCCCGUACAACUCUGAGAUUUCUAUCUGCAAUUAGAUUCCCGAUCUCCAAUUUUCAAAUCUCAAACCAGAAACAACAGAAACAAACAUUACUCCAGAAAAUCAAAACCAUAAAUAAAGAGUAAAUCUUAGAAAUAGACGAACGUACGCAUCUCCUCCGGUGUGGAGACUCCCCUCGAAGCUCCAAUCGCCAAACCUCCGCCAGCGCCGCCUCGGCGCCGCCUUCUACCAUCGCCCCAUAGUCGGACCGCCACCAAACACUCAGAUCAGAUCAUGUAGAGAAGGAAAAAAAAGAGAGA
Molecule: long non-coding RNA, 523 nt
Filed under: Erythranthe guttata (spotted monkey flower)
Lineage: Eukaryota; Viridiplantae; Streptophyta; Magnoliopsida; Lamiales; Phrymaceae
Description: long non-coding RNA (EGUT_LNC001352)
Source: RNAcentral